ACUCUCCCCACAGAUGGCGCCAAAUGUUUUGGGUGUUUUUAGUCCCUCGGGAGAGUUACAAUACGGAGUAUGCGCGCCUGACUUCUGUCCCUGCAAUACCACGAAACUCCGAUUGGGUGGAGUUCCGCCUCCUACGAUCAAGUUAGUAUGAUUUACGGAUGGGUAAUAAUGCGGAAGGUAAAUAGGUUUUUCUCACUGAUUCAGAGAGAUUCCGCAAUUAAUAUUGCUCGGGUUUCGUGUAUGAAUUUCUGAAUCCCCAAUAAAUGAGAAGGAUUCCCCUAUUUAUAGUGGGGGAGACAUGUUCCUUGAUUAGGGUUUUAAUGCCACGUGACAGCAUCCGAUUGGAUCCCGUUGGGCCUUUGGUGGACUGCCACGUGUCACGAUUCUACUGGGCCACGUGGCAUAGGGUAUUUUUACCCUAAACAUGUGGUAUUACGUUGUGUUUUUGAUUUAUUUUUUUGAAUCUGCGUUUUUUUGCUCAAUUUUUUCCUCAAUUUCAAGUAACGUUUUUGCUAACCUUGGCUGUGCAGAAUUUGUAGAUUGUGUAUUGUGGGUUCUUUGAUUUUGGAACUUGACUCGUUAUUUUGGGUUCACUGUUUCUUUUUCUUUUUUUUUUUAAUUCAAUAACUUUGCUAUGAAUCGGAGUUUGUUUUGAUAAAUAAUUAGUUUAAUUCAUUAUAAUUGGCCUAUGAACUAGUUGAGUUUCACUAUAUUCAUACUGAUUAAAAUUUGUAUGCAUUAGUCACUUUUUUCAAGCAUUGGAUUUGAGUGUCAAUUUUUGUUUACUUCAAUGUGUUUAUGAUAGAUAUUUUGUAGGGCUUCAAUUUGAGAACAAUUGUGAAGUGGGUGUGUUCUCUAAGUUGACUAAUGCAUAUUGUUUGGUCACAAUCGGUGGGUCUGAGAACUUUUACAGUACAUUUGAAUCCGAGUUAGCGGAUAAUAUUCCCGUCGUAAAGACCUCAUGGUAGGAAACAAAAACGGGCUUCUUGUGCCUCACUUGACUACUAACCAGGGGUUGGAUCUUCUUUUUAAGUUUCUUAGGCAUCACCCCUUUGGCCGAGCGUUUGGGUUAUGCAACAGAGCAGCUGGCUUUUUAUAUAGGCCCUACAG
This is a long non-coding RNA of Chenopodium quinoa (quinoa), 1110 nucleotides long. RefSeq lists it as uncharacterized. The transcript is spliced from 4 exons. The record is from RefSeq and is a predicted model, not a curated record. NCBI's taxonomy places the organism in Eukaryota, Viridiplantae, Streptophyta, Magnoliopsida, Caryophyllales, Amaranthaceae.